RNAcentral lists this ribosomal RNA (864 nucleotides) under Triticum aestivum (bread wheat). RNAcentral's name for it is "partial small subunit ribosomal RNA". Lineage: Eukaryota; Viridiplantae; Streptophyta; Magnoliopsida; Poales; Poaceae. The record is from RNAcentral.
AUGGCGCCGAGGGACAUCAAGAUCGAAGCAAAUACCAUCGAUGAUGCAGCAGGUGGGAUACUCCGUAUUUUGGAGGGUGCGAGCAAACACGAACGAAAUAUCUACUUCCAUGGCUGGUGUGGACUUGGAGCAUCCGCUACUCUGAGAAUGGUAGCCCAACGCUUGAAAUCAUCAGCCACUGAAGAAAUGAAGUUUGACAAGGUUGUUCAUGUGGAUUGCUCGUUGUGGCAAGGAAUGAGAGCCCUGCAAAAGGCAAUUGUUGAGGUGCUGGAGCUUCCCCAGUCGGUGAUGGCCAUAUUCGACCAGCACGAUGAGGAGGAGGAUUUCGAUGGGAUAGACCAAGGCUCCAGAGGGGUGAUAUUGGAGGUCACAGAGGAGAUCUUCAGAAAGCUUCUUAACAGUACAUUUGUUGUGAUUUUUCACAACGGGAGCGGCCACUACAUUGAUUUGUACCAGUGUGGUGUCCCUGUAACAAUAUUUUUGAGUAGCAAGGUGUUGUGGACCUGGGGCAGGAGGCUCCGACUCAUUGACAGAUCUGAUGUUGAUGAAGUCCAUAAAACUCCGACUGAGGCUGAUAUUGUGGUGAGAGGUCUAGAAUUUAUGGGAAAUAUAUUGCAUGAAGAGGCCGCAGAGGUUGCUAAGUACAUUGGUAUUCUUGAGCCUGACAGAAUAGUUGAGUGCCUCCAGUACAUCUGGGCAAGAAGACGUGUCAGCCGUAUCGACUGGGAAACGCAUGCUUCAAACUAUUGGGUAUGUGAUGGGAUUAUACAAGAGCAAGACAAUGUAUCUGGAUGGAAGGUUAGUGAUGCUCUGCACAGACUCAUACACUUGGAUUGGAUGAAGGAGGUAGAUAAUCCCUACUGA